Molecule: unclassified non-coding RNA, 176 nt
Filed under: uncultured fungus
Lineage: Eukaryota; Fungi
Description: sequence contains ITS1, 5.8S rRNA gene
Source: RNAcentral
UCGAGUGUUACAACUCCCAAACCCUUAUGUGAACCUUACCCAUCGUUGCUUCGGCGGGAUCGUCCCGGUGGCCCGUUAUGGGCCGCCGGAUCCACGGCGCCCGCCGGGGGACCGAAACUCUUGCUUGUUUUCAGCGGUUUUCUCUCUGAGUGGCACAAGCAAAAAAUGCAAAAUUA